Molecule: ribosomal RNA, 994 nt
Filed under: Salmonella enterica
Lineage: Bacteria; Pseudomonadati; Pseudomonadota; Gammaproteobacteria; Enterobacterales; Enterobacteriaceae
Also listed under: 1 other name
Description: partial 23S ribosomal RNA
Rfam family: Bacterial large subunit ribosomal RNA
Source: RNAcentral
CAUCCUCCAAGGCUAAAUACUCCUGACUGACCGAUAGUGAACCAGUACCGUGAGGGAAAGGCGAAAAGAACCCCGGCGAGGGGAGUGAAAAAGAACCUGAAACCGUGUACGUACAAGCAGUGGGAGCACAGGUUUACCUGUGUGACUGCGUACCUUUUGUAUAAUGGGUCAGCGACUUAUAUUCUGUAGCAAGGUUAACCGUAUAGGGGAGCCGGAGGGAAACCGAGUCUUAACCGGGCGUUAAGUUGCAGGGUAUAGACCCGAAACCCGGUGAUCUAGCCAUGGGCAGGUUGAAGGUUGGGUAACACUAACUGGAGGACCGAACCGACUAAUGUUGAAAAAUUAGCGGAUGACCUGUGGCUGGGGGUGAAAGGCCAAUCAAACCGGGAGAUAGCUGGUUCUCCCCGAAAGCUAUUUAGGUAGCGCCUCGUGAAUUCAUCUCCGGGGGUAGAGCACUGUUUCGGCUAGGGGGCCAUCCCGGCUUACCAACCCGAUGCAAACUGCGAAUACCGGAGAAUGUUAUCACGGGAGACACACGGCGGGUGCUAACGUCCGUCGUGAAGAGGGAAACAACCCAGACCGCCAGCUAAGGUCCCAAAGUCAUGGUUAAGUGGGAAACGAUGUGGGAAGGCCCAGACAGCCAGGAUGUUGGCUUAGAAGCAGCCAUCAUUUAAAGAAAGCGUAAUAGCUCACUGGUCGAGUCGGCCUGCGCGGAAGAUGUAACGGGGCUAAACCAUGCACCGAAGCUGCGGCAGCGACACUCAGGUGUUGUUGGGUAGGGGAGCGUUCUGUAAGCCUGUGAAGGUGGCCUGUGAGGGUUGCUGGAGGUAUCAGAAGUGCGAAUGCUGACAUAAGUAACGAUAAAGCGGGUGAAAAGCCCGCUCGCCGGAAGACCAAGGGUUCCUGUCCAACGUUAAUCGGGGCAGGGUGAGUCGACCCCUAAGGCGAGGCCGAAAGGCGUAGUCGAUGGGAAACGGGUUAAUAUUCCCGUACU